AACUAGUUUACACAACACGAAUCACGGCUUUAUUUGCAUAGGCCAUAAUGGAGCACCCGAACUGUUGCCUUCCUACAUCAUGCUUCGUACCGAUGAUCUUUAGAACGGUCAGAGUGGAAAGAACUGCUUCAUGCACUUCCGGGGGUCAAGUACGAGCACGUGAUGGAGAACGGAUGUAAAGAAUGUGUAACAGUUACUGACACACUUGUAAUUAGCCACACUAUUGGAGAAGAUGACGUAUAUUUCGUUUAAGUCUUCUGACAGGAAGCACUAUGCUAGUCCAGGCAGCAAGUGAUUUGGAUUCAGUUCCAGGGGCUUUACCUGUCCAACUUGGAAGUGACACUCGGGACAAAUAACAUAUCUCUACUGAAUGUCCUCUUUACCGGCUUACUGGACAAAAUAUGUCUUUAUUGGUGUGAUGGCUACCGGAUGCAAAAACGAAAUAAAGAAAAACUUCACAGAUCUUAGGAUGUAGAAUCAGACUGGAAGGGUUCGAUGGGAAUAUAACACGUGUAUUGAUAUUGGUUAGUUACGUGUGACAGGUGACUCUUCCCAUGGCACGUUUCGGACAUACAGAGCCAUAUGACUCCGUCUUCCACCUGUGUCAAAGAGGAGGAGUUACAACAGCUAGUUUGUUGAUGAUACCUUCCGAUUGGACUGAGAAUAUAGACGUACACAGUGUACUGUAAACGAUCUCGCCCACUGCAUGUAUUGUUAUCACUAAGAACUCAUUCAUCCGGAACUUCCUUUCGGUUUAGGGCUCACGCGUGUUUGUGCUUGGCUCGGAUAUAAACAUUGUGGGUAUUCGGACAUAUUCUGUGUGAUUUC
This is a long non-coding RNA of Ylistrum balloti, 828 nucleotides long. RefSeq lists it as uncharacterized. The transcript has 3 exons. The record is from RefSeq and is a predicted model, not a curated record. Lineage: Eukaryota; Metazoa; Mollusca; Bivalvia; Pectinida; Pectinidae.